ACGCUCGACACCUACUGGAGGCAGCAGUGGGGAAUAUUGGGCAAUGGGCGCAAGCCUGACCCAGCAACGCCGCGUGAAGGAAGAAGGCUUUCGGGUUGUAAACUUCUUUUCUCAGGGACGAAGGAAGUGACGGUACCUGAGGAACAAGCCACGGCUAACUACGUGCAAGCAGCCGCGGUAAUCUGAGCGGGCUGGCAAGGC
This 201-nucleotide ribosomal RNA is filed under the name uncultured bacterium. RNAcentral describes it as "partial 16S ribosomal RNA". It matches the Rfam family "Bacterial small subunit ribosomal RNA", at positions 328 to 539 of the family's 1533-position model. The record is from RNAcentral.